Dreissena polymorpha is the source of this 451-nucleotide long non-coding RNA. RefSeq lists it as uncharacterized. The transcript has 4 exons. NCBI's taxonomy places the organism in Eukaryota, Metazoa, Mollusca, Bivalvia, Myida, Dreissenidae. The record is from RefSeq and is a predicted model, not a curated record.
CAAUUGUUAUUAUAUAUUGUUUUAAAAUGCGAACUAAUAUAUACUGCAUUAUCUCACAUUCUUUCCAUUUAUAUCUAGAGUUCAGGAAUGACGAUCCAACGUCUUUGGAGGUUUUGCGUACUUGUUUUAGUUUUAGAUAUUCGGGUAGACGGAGCCAUGACAUGGAAUGGACCCCCUUCAUCCCGAUCACCUAGAGUUGAUUUAACUCAAUCGGAGCCAUGCUUUAAUUCUGUUACUAGUUUGAAUAUAAACAACGCCGAAGGGACAUUACAAUACAGCUUGGUGAGUCAGAAUCCUGACGGGCAGUUUACUAUGGUCGGGCACAGAAUAUAUUGUAAUGAGCUUGUCAUUCGAACCAACGGCUACUCGAGUUAUUCCCUGACCGUGAGCGUAUACGAUGGCACAACCACACUUACCGACACGUUUACAGUUACAAUUAUUGGUUUGACAA